RNAcentral lists this ribosomal RNA (520 nucleotides) under uncultured Glomus. RNAcentral describes it as "SSU rRNA". It matches the Rfam family "Eukaryotic small subunit ribosomal RNA", at positions 569 to 1092 of the family's 1831-position model. Lineage: Eukaryota; Fungi; Glomeromycota; Glomeromycetes; Glomerales; Glomeraceae. The record is from RNAcentral.
AGCAGCCGCGGUAAUUCCAGCUCCAAUAGCGUAUAUUAAAGUUGUUGCAGUUAAAAAGCUCGUAGUUGAAUUUCGGGGUUAGUAGGCUGGUCGUGCCACUGGUACGUACUGGUCUCACUGAUUCCUCCUUCCUGAUGAACCGUAAUGCCAUUAAUUUGGUGUUGCGGGGAAACUGGACUGUUACUUUGAAAAAAUUAGAGUGUUUAAAGCAAGCUAACGCUUGAAUACAUUAGCAUGGAAUAAUGAAAUAGGACGUUCGAUCCUAUUUUGUUGGUUUCUAGGAUUGACGUAAUGAUUAAUAGGGAUAGUUGGGGGCAUUAGUAUUCAAUUGUCAGAGGUGAAAUUCUUGGAUUUAUUGAAGACUAACUACUGCGAAAGCAUUUGCCAAGGAUGUUUUCAUUAAUCAAGACGGAAGUAGGGGAUCGAAGACGAUCAGAUACCGUCGUAGUCUUAACCAUAAACUAUAGCCGACUAGGGAUCGGNUGAUGUUAUUUUUAAUGUACUCAUUCGGCGCCUUACG